This 466-nucleotide ribosomal RNA is filed under the name uncultured bacterium. Its description in RNAcentral is "partial 16S ribosomal RNA". It matches the Rfam family "Bacterial small subunit ribosomal RNA", at positions 339 to 795 of the family's 1533-position model. The record is from RNAcentral.
CUACGGGGUGCAGCAGUGGGGAAUAUUGGACAAUGGGGGAAACCCUGAUCCAGCAAUGCCGCGUGUGUGAAGAAGGCCUGCGGGUUGUAAAGCACUUUCGGUUGGGAGGACUGCUUCUAGCACUAAUAUUGUUGGAAGUUGACGUUACCUUCAGAAGAAGCACCGGCUAACUCCGUGCCAGCAGCCGCGGUAAUACGGAGGGUGCAAGCGGUUAAUCGGAAUUACUGGGCGUAAAGCGCGCGUAGGCGGCUAGAUCAGUCGGGUGUGAAAGCCCCGGGCUUAACCUGGGAACUGCAUCCGAUACUGUCUAGCUUGAGUACAGGAGGGGAGAGUGGAAUUCCACAUGUAGCGGUGAAAUGCGUAGAUAUGUGGAGGAACACCAAUGGCGAAGGCAGCUCUCUGGCCUGAUACUGACGCUGAGGUGCGAAAGCGUGGGGAGCAAACAGGAUUAGAUACCCUUGUAGUC